Molecule: long non-coding RNA, 593 nt
Filed under: Equus caballus (horse)
Lineage: Eukaryota; Metazoa; Chordata; Mammalia; Perissodactyla; Equidae
Description: lncRNA (ENSECAG00000055582.1)
Source: RNAcentral
GGACUUUCCUCUGCGGGCGCAUCACAGCGUUCUCACACUCGGGAACACCAGUUGGCACUUCAGUACUGCCCUUCGGGUCCAUACCAAUCAGCGAAUCAUCAAACAGCCCCAAAAUGCUGAACACGUCACCCCAAAAAACCACGGAAAGAACACUCAUUUACAGAACAAGAGCUAAAACAGGAAGGCUGCGUCUCCCCGCGCCUUGGUCCACGUCAGCUGGGCAUGCGCACGCCAGGCAACUCAACUUUUUCACUACUCUGCGCAUGUCCACACAGGUCAGCACAUGACCUGAAAAGCGUCAAUAUCCUAAAUUAUCCAUGGUUUAGAUGCAGUGCCCAAAUAAUUAAGAAACCAGAAGCAACUCUAAACCUAUCAUUCAGCUUGUGAAGUGCACGUUUCUCUCAGUCGCAUAUUGUUAAUGCAGAGCUUUUGCUUUGAAAAAGCACAAACUGGAACAAAGCAAGUUGAUACUCCCUAAAAGAUUGGAUGUGAAAAAUAAUCGUGGGUGACUGCUUGGUUUACCUUGAAAAUAUACUGAGAACAGAGUUCUACUUUCUGUUCGUUAUUAGUUGCAAGGUGACUCUGAAAUAAAU